This 253-nucleotide unclassified non-coding RNA is filed under the name uncultured Parachlamydiaceae bacterium. RNAcentral describes it as "contains 16S-23S intergenic spacer region". It matches the Rfam family "Bacterial small subunit ribosomal RNA", at positions 524 to 776 of the family's 1533-position model. The record is from RNAcentral. Lineage: Bacteria; Pseudomonadati; Chlamydiota; Chlamydiia; Parachlamydiales; Parachlamydiaceae.
UACGUAGGGUGCAAGCGUUAAUCGGAAUUAUUGGGCGUAUAGGGCGCGUAGGCGGAGAUGUAAGUCGGAUGUGAAAGCCCAGGGCUCAACCCUGGAACAGCAUCCGAAACUGUAUAUCUAGAGGAUAGGCGGAGGAAACGGAAUUCCACAAGUAGCGGUGAAAUGCGUAGAUAUGUGGAAGAACACCCGUGGCGAAGGCGGUUUCCUAGCUUAGACCUGACGCUAAGGCGCGAAAGCAAGGGGAUCAAACAGG